ACCUUUGUUGCUUUGGCGGGCCGUCAGAUCUCGGUCAGGCUACCGGCUCCGGCUGGUAAGCGCCCGCCAGAGGACCCCAAACUUUGAAUAUUAGUGUCGUCUGAGUACUAUAUAAUAGUUAAAACUUUCAACAACGGAUCUCUUGGUUCUGGCAUCGAUGAAGAACGCAGCGAAAUGCGAUAAGUAAUGUGAAUUGCAGAAUUCAGCGAAUCAUCGAAUCUUUGAACGCACAUUGCGCCCCUUGGUAUUCCGAGGGGCAUGCCUGUUCGAGCGUCAUUACAACCCUCAAGCACUGCUUGGUAUUGGGCUCCGCUGCUUAUCCAGCGGGCCUUAAAAUUAGUGGCGGUGUCAUUAGGCCCUGAGCGUAGUAAAUAUCCUCGCUAUAGGGACUUGGUGAUUACUGGCCAGCAACCCCCACUUUCUAAGUUUGACCUCGGAUCAGGUAGGGAUACCCGCUGAACUUAAGCAU
Molecule: ribosomal RNA, 469 nt
Filed under: uncultured Helotiales
Lineage: Eukaryota; Fungi; Ascomycota; Leotiomycetes; Helotiales
Description: eukaryotic LSU rRNA
Rfam family: 5.8S ribosomal RNA (bases 123-276)
Source: RNAcentral